Molecule: long non-coding RNA, 478 nt
Organism: Ziziphus jujuba (common jujube)
Lineage: Eukaryota; Viridiplantae; Streptophyta; Magnoliopsida; Rosales; Rhamnaceae
Exons: 3
Source: RefSeq, a predicted model, not a curated record
GUAGAGUUUAUAAAUCUCUGUAACAUCACUCUCAAACUAAUUUGCCUUGAAAAAGAAAAAAAAAAAUGAAUCAAUCAAACAGACCAACCAGUACUACUAUUUACCAAGCUGUGGACGCCAAGGACAGAGCUCAGCAGGAAAGUAUUAGCAGUGCGAUGGAGAGGGCAAACCAUGCUGCCUGCUGCCAAUCUGCCAACGAGUCAUGCCAAGAGGGUGGCCAAAUGAAGGCUAAGCCCCAAGAGGCUGCUGAUGCUGCUAAGAUUACAGUCGGAACUGACAAAUGAAAAUCUACCUUCCUCAUCUUGAUCCUUCAAGUUUUCUUUUGUUUUUUGCUUUUUUUGUUUUUUGAUCCUUAAUUUCUAUACCGAUUUGUUUUCUACUUUUUUUAGCCUUGUUAUUGAUGAGCCGGCUGGCAAUCAAUAAUUAAUUUUAAUUAAUUAUGAGGAAAACUAUCUUAUAAAGUUUCACAGUUUUCUUA